CAGUUCCGCCGCCGCUGCGCGGGUGGAGGAGGUUCCCGGCUCCGGUGGCUUCUGUUUCUCUUGGAUCCACGCCAUCUCCCAACAUUCGCGGACAUCCGCACCUUCCCGCACUGUCUGCUGUGUUUCCGCCUCUGUUCCGCGCCAUCUCUCACGGCGCCCCGGGAGUGUCACAUGGCUGCUGUUACAUGAGACGUGUCGUCAGGGAGAGCCGGGACUGAGUCCCAGCUGGGUCUGUGUGCACAGAGGCUCCACAGGAGGCGUCAUCUUGGUGUCAGCCAGGCGCUAGGCUCUGGGGCCCCAGGUUGUUGACAUUUCCCAUCCUUGGAGAAGUGGCCUUUUGUAGGAGACGUCCUAUGUAUCUCAGCAGCACACUCCUCUCUCUGGUCACCAGAGCUAUAUGCUCUAGGGGUGCCCACUAUUUGGGCUGCGUGUUGUGGCAGACUGACUGCUGUGGGCAAUCUGGUGUCACAUGAGUGUCCCAAGUUCUCCAGCCUUCAGGAGUCACCCUUUCCUUGAACAUCCACUGAAUAUCAGCUCCCAGAUCUGCAGGAAAUCCAUUCAAGAGCCCAGUACAUGCUGAUGUGUUUCUAUAGAUCCAUCCUGUAGCUGUUGCAUUUUUCUCUGAAUGGCUCCAUUGUGCCAGGCCUCUUUGUGGUCACCUACAGCCAUUUCUUCACCUCUUCUCCCAGUUGCUGUUCUUUCCCUAAGCUAUUUUGCUCUGAACAUCCUCUGAGUGGCCAUGGCUGGCUCCAGGACAGCACAGACUCCAAACUCUGGCCUGAUCUUGUUUCUGCCUCAGAAGCAUGUGGUGCUGUGGCCUCAGAGGCCAUUAAGGCGUCUUCUAGCUCAUCCAGGCAGGCCUGUUCUCAAACGUUCAGCUGGGAGAAUGUGACAAUUUUCUGGAGUUUGAUAAUCUUCCAUCUUUCUUGGUGAUCCAUGGAUGGUCUCACAGCCCAGCUGAGUACUUAUAUUUAAUCCCAGGAGAUUCUGAGAAGGUAUAGGUUUGUAGAGGAGGAAGGAUGGGAGAUGAUGGGGAGGAAGAGAAGAUGCGGGGAAGCCAGAGAAGACAGAAAGAGGAAAACAUAUUACAACUUAACCCAGUUUAACUCAAACUUGAAUGUGCAUCCAAAUCACCUAGAAGGCUUGUUAAAGCACAGAGUGCUGGAUCCCACCUCAGAUUUCUGAUUCAGUAAGUUUGGGGUGGGGACCAAGACUUUGCAUUUCUAACAAAUUCCCAGGUGAUACUGAUGCUGCUGGUCAGGGGACCACACUCUGAAGACCACUGACUUCAUCCCCAAACCAUAUGGGAGGCAGUGCACCCCCUUCAGACACAGUGUUUUGCUUCUCACAAUGGGUAGGCAGAUCUGUUCCUUCUUAAAUAUCCUUGCGGCCAACAGCCAAGUCCAUCUGUUUGUUCACAUAGUAGCAAGAUGUCCAACAAAUCCCUAAAGAAACUAAUGAGCAACUUGGAUCCAACUCUUUAUUGUCUGCCAGAGGAAAGGCAUCCAUGCUUGGUAAUGAGCCUUUGGUCUCUCUGCCAGGCUCUGUGGCCAGAAUUAAGCACUUUGUCAUCUAGCUGGUAAAGGACUUUCUUGACAGUAUUGAACCAGAAAGCCUAACCAAGUCAUUUACUUACAUCCCAUUAUAUUGGGGAAACAGUGGAUGGUCUGCUCUCAGAAACCUGUUUGUUUCCACCUUGGUGGUGUGCAGGACAGGAGAGGGUGUGUGUCCCACAUCAUGCAGAGUCCUGGGACGUGAUGGCCGCUGCUCCCGUUCACACAUUCCACCAGCAUUUUGUAGCCGCCUGCAUAGUCUGACUCUGAACUAAGUCAGAACAGGGCACAAUGACAAAAUACAUCCAGGAUCUGCUUCAAGGCUAGGCCUGUGACACAGCUCCAUGCUGGGUGUAUAGUGAACCCUCACGAAAUGUCAGCCUUGAUUAUUAUGAGUUUGAUUAAGAGCAGAGUGUUCCCAUCACGAUAGAAUUGCUUGAUGUAAUUCACAAUCUCCUUCUGGGAGGAAAUUAGCAUUCUUGAUAAAUGUUUAAGCAAUUUUCUGAUAAACUCUAACAAGAUUAAAACCUCCUUGGAGAAAUCAGCUACCCAAACACUCAGCUGAUUAUCAGACAUUCUUUAUCUUAUAUUCAGUUUAAUAAUGCUUAUCCAACCAUUCUCUUUUCCUGGGAAAUGUCCUUAACAAAAGGGAACUCUGACUUGGCUUUGUGGCAUGAUCAAAAUAAAACUUUGACACAA
Molecule: long non-coding RNA, 2252 nt
Organism: Mesoplodon densirostris (Blainville's beaked whale)
Lineage: Eukaryota; Metazoa; Chordata; Mammalia; Artiodactyla; Ziphiidae
Exons: 5
Source: RefSeq, a predicted model, not a curated record